CCGACCUUGGGAGACGGAGGUUACCAGUGGUCGUUCCAGCGUGUCGGGUUUGGUGACUUUCCGUUGUCCCAAGGAGAGUAAUUCUUUACAAGAAAGUGAUUGAAACAACACCAAGAAACUUUAAUGGAAUUAAGUUGGGACAUCUCCUUCACUCCUAUUCACAAGGAUGGGUACUGAGAUGCAAGAGAGUUUUCCAUUCCUCAACAGAGACAACUUCCUAAAGGGUAAAUGGAAGACCCUUGUGACAUGCAGGACAGGAAUUGCAGCUCAUUAAGGAAGUUUACCUGAGGUGAAGAAUAUCUCUAACAUGGAGUUUCACAAGUGACUGAUUUCACGCUGAAUGAAUAAAGUGCCUUCAGUAGGAGACUUCUGCAUAGAGAGCACAAACCAAUGCUAUAGGAUUCAGGUGGCAGAGUAGAGUCCACAAUAGCACUGAGCUUUUUUUGCACCUCCAAGGAAGACGAAUGAUGAGGAAGAGCUGUGGCAGAAGUAGCCUCAGGCAAGAAACGUGAUGCUGUGACACCCCCUCUCCAUCUGCUUGCAGAAAAGAAGCCUGUGCUGUUGAGUGAACGUGGAGCAGAGGGAAGCACUGAAUUUCUCAAGAAGAAGACAGAAAAAUGUGCUGAUUUUCUCUAUUGGACAAAGAUGCCAGCAUUAAUUUGUGGUGGUUUUUUUGUUUGUUUUUUUUUUUUUUUUUUAGCUGGAUAGAAGACUGAAAGCUAAUUUUGUCACUGUAACAGUGUUUAAGGCAGAGAUAUUUUAGCAUCCAAAGACAUUGAAACUGAGAUGUAAAUGGGAACAAAGGAAUAUAUCCAAAAACUACUUGGAUUCAAAAUAGUUACUAAACCACCCUAUAAUUCA
Pipra filicauda (Wire-tailed manakin) is the source of this 861-nucleotide long non-coding RNA. RefSeq lists it as uncharacterized. The transcript is spliced from 5 exons. The record is from RefSeq and is a predicted model, not a curated record. NCBI's taxonomy places the organism in Eukaryota, Metazoa, Chordata, Aves, Passeriformes, Pipridae.